This 465-nucleotide ribosomal RNA is filed under the name uncultured bacterium. RNAcentral's name for it is "partial 16S ribosomal RNA". It matches the Rfam family "Bacterial small subunit ribosomal RNA", at positions 28 to 507 of the family's 1533-position model. The record is from RNAcentral.
GAUGAACGCUGGCGGCGUGCUUAACACAUGCAAGUCGAACGGAAAGGCUCCUGCUUGCAGGGGUACUCGAGUGGCGAACGGGUGAGUAACACGUGGGUGAUCUGCCCUGCACUUCGGGAUAAGCCUGGGAAACUGGGUCUAAUACCGGAUAGGACCACAUUUUGGAUGGUAUGGUGGAAAGUUUUUCGGUGUGGGAUGAGCUCGCGGCCUAUCAGCUUGUUGGUGGGGUAAUGGCCUACCAAGGCGUCGACGGGUAGCCGGCCUGAGAGGGUGUACGGCCACAUUGGGACUGAGAUACGGCCCAGACUCCUACGGGAGGCAGCAGUGGGGAAUAUUGCACAAUGGGCGCAAGCCUGAUGCAGCGACGCCGCGUGGGGGAUGACGGCCUUCGGGUUGUAAACUCCUUUCGCUAGGGACGAAGCGCAAGUGACGGUACCUGGAGAAGAAGCACCGGCUAACUACGUG